CAUCCCUGCGCUGCUGUGUUCUCUUCAGCCUGCUCUUUCUGAUCAGCUCUCCUGUGGACUCCCUUUAAAUACCUUUCACAGAGAAACUUUCAUCCAGCAAAUGGGGCUCUCCUGAUUUCUCAGGAUUACUCGGGCUGCUGAGGGGCCUGGAGGAACAAAGGGAAAGUCUGCCUUUGGCACAAAAAGGAGACCUGAGCCUCCCCAGCUAGCAAAAGGACAACAAGAGGUCUUUCCUUCAUGCAGAAGUAAAUCCAUUCAGGUCAGGCUCACUCUCAUAUCCUUCCUUGAGUU
This 291-nucleotide long non-coding RNA is filed under the name Phascolarctos cinereus (koala). RNAcentral describes it as "lncRNA (ENSPCIG00000026115.2)". Lineage: Eukaryota; Metazoa; Chordata; Mammalia; Diprotodontia; Phascolarctidae. The record is from RNAcentral.